RNAcentral lists this unclassified non-coding RNA (170 nucleotides) under uncultured fungus. Its description in RNAcentral is "sequence contains ITS1, 5.8S rRNA gene". Lineage: Eukaryota; Fungi. The record is from RNAcentral.
CCGAGUAUCGGUACCCUUAUGGGUACUUACUCCCACCAUUUGUGAACCUUUUUCGUUGCCUCGGCGGAUCGAUGGUACCCCCAUCCUUCGGCGUAAGUUGAAGAGUGUCCGCCAGAGGAUUUUCAAACCAGUCUUAACAGUGAAAUCUGAGUUUUAAACAAAUAAAAACA